This 833-nucleotide long non-coding RNA is filed under the name Phasianus colchicus (ring-necked pheasant). RNAcentral describes it as "lncRNA (ENSPCLG00000016946.1)". Lineage: Eukaryota; Metazoa; Chordata; Aves; Galliformes; Phasianidae. The record is from RNAcentral.
UGGGGGCACUUAUGGGGUCUUGGGGGCAGAUAUGGGAUCAGAGGGGUCACAUUUGGGGGGCUUGGGGGUCUUGGGGGGCAGUUAUGGGGUCAGUGGGGUCACAUUUGGGGCAAUUGGGGGUCUUGGGGGGCAGAUAUGGGGUCAGAGGGGUCACGUUUGGGGCAAUUGAGGGUCUUGGGUGGCAGAUAUGGGGUCAAAGGAACUGCAUUGGGGGCACUUAUGGGGUCUUGGGAGGAGAUACGAGGCCAGAGGGACCACAUUUGGGGUCCUUGGGGGCACAUAUGGGAUCAGAGGGGUCACAUUUGGGGCAAUUGAGGGUCUUGGGGGGCAGAUAUGGGGUCAAAGGAACUGCAUUGGGGGCACAUAUAAGGUCUUGGGGGCAGAUACGAGGCCAGAGGGACCAAAUUUGGGGUCUUGGNNNNNNNNNNNNNNNNNNNNNNNNNCCUUGGGGGUCUUGGGGGCAGAUAUGGGAUCAGAGGGGUCACAUUUGGGGGGCUUGGGGGUCUUGGGGGGCAGAUAUGGGGUUAGAGGGGUCACAUUUAGGGUCUUUGGGGGUCUUGGGGGCAGAUAUGGGGUCAAAGAAGUGCAAAGGGGGCACUUAUGGGGUCUUGGGGGGAGAUAGGAGGCCAGAGGGACCACAUUUGGGGUCCUUGUGGGUCUUGAGGGGAACAUAUGGGGUCAGGGGAACUGCGUUUGGGGUGCUCAGGGGUCUUGGGAGGCGGAUAUGGGGUUUAAAGAACCGGUUUUGGGGUGCUUGGGGAGCAGAGAUGGGGCAAAAGGAAACAAGUUUGGGGUCGGAGGAGAUUUGGGGGGCAAGGGGGAUGGGGGGGCAA